GACGAACGCUGGCGGCGUGCUUAACACAUGCAAGUCGAACGGAAAGGCCCUGCUUGCAGGGUACUCGAGUGGCGAACGGGUGAUUAACACGUGGGUGAUCUGCCCUGCACUUCGGGAUAAGCCUGGGAAACUGGGUCUAAUACCGGAUAGGAGCCAUUUUUAGUGUGAUGGUUGGAAAGUUUUUUCGGUGUAGGAUGAGCUCGCGGCCUAUCAGCUUGUUGGUGGGGUAAUGGCCUACCAAGGCGGCGACGGGUAGCCGGCCUGGGAGGGUGGACGGCCACAUUGGGACUGAGAUACGGCCCAGACUCCUACGGGAGGCAGCAGUGGGGAAUAAUGCACAAUGGGCGCAAGCCUGAUGCAGCGACGCCGCGUGGGGGAUGACGGCCUUCGGGUUGUAAACUCCUUUCGCUAGGGACGAAGCUUUUUGUGACGGUACCUAGAUAAGAAGCACCGGCUAACUACGUG
RNAcentral lists this ribosomal RNA (465 nucleotides) under uncultured bacterium. Its description in RNAcentral is "partial 16S ribosomal RNA". It matches the Rfam family "Bacterial small subunit ribosomal RNA", at positions 28 to 507 of the family's 1533-position model. The record is from RNAcentral.